RNAcentral lists this ribosomal RNA (253 nucleotides) under uncultured bacterium. RNAcentral's name for it is "partial 16S ribosomal RNA". It matches the Rfam family "Bacterial small subunit ribosomal RNA", at positions 524 to 776 of the family's 1533-position model. The record is from RNAcentral.
UACGUAGGCAGCGAGCGUUGUUCGGAGUUACUGGGCGUAAAGGGUGCGUAGGCGGUUGUUUAAGUUUGGUGUGAAAUCUCCCGGCUCAACUGGGAGGGUGCGCCGAAUACUGAAUGACUAGAGUGCGGGAGAGGAUAGUGGAAUUCCUGGUGUAGCGGUGAAACGCGUAGAUAUCAGGAGGAACACCGGUGGUGUAGACGGCUAUCUGGACCGUAACUGACGCUGAGGCACGAAAGCGUGGGUAGCAAACAGG